Molecule: ribosomal RNA, 254 nt
Filed under: uncultured bacterium
Lineage: Bacteria
Description: partial 16S ribosomal RNA
Rfam family: Bacterial small subunit ribosomal RNA
Source: RNAcentral
CGGAGGGUGCAAGCGUUGUCCGGAUUUAUUGGGUUUAAAGGGUGCGUAGGCGGCCGUUUAAGUCCGGGGUGAAAGCCCACUGCUCAACAGUGGAACUGCCCUGGAAACUGGACGGCUUGAGUACAGACGAGGGCGGCGGAAUGGAUGGUGUAGCGGUGAAAUGCAUAGAUACCAUCCAGAACCCCGAUUGCGAAGGCAGCUGCCUAGACUGUAACUGACGCUGAGGCACGAAAGCGUGGGGAGCGAACAGGAUU